RNAcentral lists this ribosomal RNA (253 nucleotides) under Blautia hydrogenotrophica. RNAcentral's name for it is "partial 16S ribosomal RNA". It matches the Rfam family "Bacterial small subunit ribosomal RNA", at positions 524 to 776 of the family's 1533-position model. RNAcentral also lists the same sequence under 1 other name. The record is from RNAcentral. Lineage: Bacteria; Bacillati; Bacillota; Clostridia; Lachnospirales; Lachnospiraceae.
UACGUAAGGGGCAAGCGUUAUCCGGAUUUACUGGGUGUAAAGGGAGCGUAGACGGUUUGGCAAGUCUGAUGUGAAAGGCAUGGGCUCAACCUGUGGACUGCAUUGGAAACUGUCAGACUUGAGUGCCGGAGAGGCAAGCGGAAUUCCUAGUGUAGCGGUGAAAUGCGUAGAUAUUAGGAGGAACACCAGUGGCGAAGGCGGCCUGCUGGACGGUAACUGACGUUGAGGCUCGAAAGCGUGGGGAGCAAACAGG